Physella acuta is the source of this 414-nucleotide long non-coding RNA. RefSeq lists it as uncharacterized. NCBI's taxonomy places the organism in Eukaryota, Metazoa, Mollusca, Gastropoda, Physidae. The record is from RefSeq and is a predicted model, not a curated record.
GUUGCUGAAUAUAUCUGACCGUUUCUUUAACAUCAACAGCCAAUAUAAAUCCCCCACCUUUAAUAAAAUGUGCAUAUACGGUGUCUAUACAACGGGAUUUUUAUCAAUAAAACACCGUGUUUUGUUAGCAAUAGUACGCACUGUUUAAAAUGAAGGUCGUUGUUCUGCUACUUUUAGUGUGUCUCUCCAAUUUUAUUAAUGUAACAGAAAGCUGUUGUAAAGAAAGUGGUGAAAAAUGUUAUGCAGACUGGCAAUGUUGCGAACACACAUUUUGCUUAAUACAUCAAGAUUCAGCACUUUCACAAUGCUAUCGUCAAACUAACAAGUAAAGUAUGUUAGAGAGAACCGAACUAUCAAACCACUGUUCGUGUUUUUUGUGUUUGAUCAUUUGAUUAAAAACACAUUUUAAAUGAA